This is a long non-coding RNA of Cheilinus undulatus (humphead wrasse), 235 nucleotides long. RefSeq lists it as uncharacterized. The transcript is spliced from 3 exons. Lineage: Eukaryota; Metazoa; Chordata; Actinopteri; Labriformes; Labridae. The record is from RefSeq and is a predicted model, not a curated record.
GAGCAUCAUGACGAGCAUGCAGGUGUCAACAAAGUAAAACCCUGAGUCUUAAAAAGUCGUCGUUUAAAGCAGUAGGAUAUUAAGAUAGCGUAACUGGCUCCCAUAUGCAGCAUUGAGCUCCCACACCGUGCCGUCUGUUCCAUCCUUGUCCAGUCUGCUGGGUUCAGAGCCCAUCGCCUGCAGAGGGGGAAGAAUUAAAGCACCAGGAUGAGAGGAGGACAGGACAGGAGAGGAA